Non-coding RNA from Pelobates cultripes (western spadefoot toad), 258 nucleotides. Lineage: Eukaryota; Metazoa; Chordata; Amphibia; Anura; Pelobatidae. The record is from the annotation of a GenBank genome assembly.
UAGCGGACCAGGAGGAGAACACAUUGACACUGUGUAACAGCAUCGCUACUGCUGCCUGUAUCCCUCUGCCGGGCUCCGUGUCGGUGUAUCACCUCAGAGCCGGUAUAUCGCAGUGGACAGCACCUUCCAGAACUGAAGCGCACACACCUGGCUAGAGAUGGGCUCCUGAUCUUCUACCACAGCAGGAACACUGCUUUCCACUGACAUCUCUGGUGCAAUCUUUUUUGCCGUAUGUCUGUCAGCCCCUAAUUUGAGAGA